UUCUCCACGGAGGAAACCACUUUCUCCUCCACGGAGGCGAUCUCCUCCUCCAAUCCGCAGGGGGGCUGAUUCAUCGAGGCGUCGACCAAAGUCUCUCUAUGCUUUUGCUAUAGAGAGAAGUUGUUUAGAGGAUUUAAAUAUGCACAACUCAAAUGGCAGUUCAAUAAGCUACAACCACACUAAUGGAUGGAAAAGUCUUUCCGUGGCAUGUGUGCUCGUUUGUGUAGAGAUGCGCAUCAAAAACAGUUGUUGCGGUUUCAAAGACUUUUACAACAGCAGAAACAAUGUUGUAUGCUCGAACUCUGAGGCAGUGGAUUACAGCUUCUCUUGGGGCCUUAAGCAGUUGCAAAACAUAUGGUGGCUGUCAGCACAAAUCUAACGGUUCUUUCGGGUCUUAUCAUCGACUUGAGUGGAUUUCCGAACUGGCACAAUAGGGCUUAAGGACUUAGAAUUUAAGAUUUUUAGGUAUUUAGUAUUAUUUAGAAUUUGUUAUUGUUUGGCUAAAAUCAAAUAAGUUUUUUGUUGUCGGAACUUAUAUUCGAAAUUUAAUUUGAAUAUUGGGAUUGUAAUUGGAGAGUUAAAACUAUUUGUUAUAAAUUAUUAAUGCUCUUUGGUUAUGACUUUUUAAAAA
Long non-coding RNA from Ananas comosus (pineapple), 631 nucleotides. RefSeq lists it as uncharacterized. The record is from RefSeq and is a predicted model, not a curated record. NCBI's taxonomy places the organism in Eukaryota, Viridiplantae, Streptophyta, Magnoliopsida, Poales, Bromeliaceae. The transcript is spliced from 5 exons.